RNAcentral lists this ribosomal RNA (526 nucleotides) under Salmonella enterica. Its description in RNAcentral is "bacterial SSU rRNA". It matches the Rfam family "Bacterial small subunit ribosomal RNA", at positions 1007 to 1533 of the family's 1533-position model. The record is from RNAcentral. Lineage: Bacteria; Pseudomonadati; Pseudomonadota; Gammaproteobacteria; Enterobacterales; Enterobacteriaceae.
UGGAUUUGUGCCUUCGGGAACCGUGAGACAGGUGCUGCAUGGCUGUCGUCAGCUCGUGUUGUGAAAUGUUGGGUUAAGUCCCGCAACGAGCGCAACCCUUAUCCUUUGUUGCCAGCGAUUCGGUCGGGAACUCAAAGGAGACUGCCAGUGAUAAACUGGAGGAAGGUGGGGAUGACGUCAAGUCAUCAUGGCCCUUACGACCAGGGCUACACACGUGCUACAAUGGCGCAUACAAAGAGAAGCGACCUCGCGAGAGCAAGCGGACCUCAUAAAGUGCGUCGUAGUCCGGAUUGGAGUCUGCAACUCGACUCCAUGAAGUCGGAAUCGCUAGUAAUCGUGGAUCAGAAUGCCACGGUGAAUACGUUCCCGGGCCUUGUACACACCGCCCGUCACACCAUGGGAGUGGGUUGCAAAAGAAGUAGGUAGCUUAACCUUCGGGAGGGCGCUUACCACUUUGUGAUUCAUGACUGGGGUGAAGUCGUAACAAGGUAACCGUAGGGGAACCUGCGGUUGGAUCACCUCCUUA